This 1255-nucleotide long non-coding RNA is filed under the name Equus caballus (horse). RNAcentral describes it as "lncRNA (ENSECAG00000048963.1)". The record is from RNAcentral. Lineage: Eukaryota; Metazoa; Chordata; Mammalia; Perissodactyla; Equidae.
ACUGAAUAAUACAAUUUCUAUUUGCAAAACAAACAAUAACUAAAAUCUCUAUUACGUAUGUAUACAUGAUUAUAUAAGCAUGAAAAAAGUGGGGAAAGAUACGCUCUAGGUUCUUACCAUGACUUACUUAGGGUCAGUGAGGGGCUACUGAUGCUGAUGGACAGGACAACUGCAUAUGGCCACACAGAUUAUGUACUGUAUAAUUCCAGGGGCAUCAUUCAUAUAGACUGGGGUGGACAUAUUUUUAAGUGGGCCCUAUGAUCCUUGCUUUUUAGUGUUCAUGAACUUUUUUGAUUCUAUCUUCUUAUGUGUAGGAGGAAUCUGUGAUUUUUUUCUAACCAAUAUAAUACAGCAAAGGUGAUUAUAUGUGUGUGAUUAUGUUACUUAAGAUUGUAGUGCCCAUCUUUCUGGAAUUUCUCUUACCCUUGUUGGCUGUGAGGAGGCAAGUGGCCAUGUUGGGGAACCCCAUAUGACAAGGAACUUCAAUUGAGUUGUUGAGGAUGGCCUCCAGCCAACAGGAAACCAAAAACGGAAGCUCUCAAUCCUACAACUAUAAGGAGCUGAAUGCUGUCAACAACCAUGCCAUCAGAGAAAUAGAACUCAGUGACAUGACCACACUUAAGUGCAAAGGAAUGUGAGCAAUAUCAUUGAGCUGUCCUCCCAGGAAGAAGAAGAAAUGGAUGGGUGAAUAACCAGCAGUCCCUCCACAACUCUCCCUCAGCUGACAACUAGAAAAGUAACAACAACAACAAAAAAACGAUAAUUCAACCUUCAAUGAAACAAGAAAAUGGCCAAACCUUGUCAUUAAUUUUAUAUCGUAUUGUCUGAUUAGUGGCACUACAGAAACCAGAAUUAGUAAGGAUGCUAAGAAGUGAUAUAUACUUUUAAGGUCUUCGGCUGGACUACAUGCUUUCCUAAAAGAAGGAGUCACAGUAACCAAAAGCACAGAAAGAAUGACAAAAUUUUGUGUCAGGAAUGAAUGCUGAAGAACAAGGAGACAUCUCAGUAGAAACCCAGUUCAUUCUGCGUGAUGGUAAGGGAGGGCGAGCUGCAGGAGAAGACUCGCUCAUAACCUAUCUUUGUUGCAACCCUGCCUAGCUUAAGGAAACCACAAGAAAUUAAGCAAAUGUUUUUAAAAAGGGAAAGAAGAUAAAUAAAAGGUAAUGCAAGCACACAUUACAAGAAGAAUAGAGGAGUUUCCCAAAGGAAAAAAAAGGUUCAAAGAAAGUUCUGACCAUUCACAAAUAAAUUAUAG